GGGCCCAUGGCCAAGCGGUUAAGGCGACCGGCUCAUAACCGGUUGAACCCAGGUUCGAAUCCUGGUGGGCCCACCA
This 76-nucleotide transfer RNA is filed under the name bacterium. RNAcentral's name for it is "tRNA-Ile". It matches the Rfam family "tRNA". From Rfam's summary of the family: Transfer RNA (tRNA) molecules are approximately 80 nucleotides in length. Their secondary structure includes four short double-helical elements and three loops (D, anti-codon, and T loops). The record is from RNAcentral. RNAcentral also lists the same sequence under 2 other names.